This 3644-nucleotide long non-coding RNA is filed under the name Nicotiana tabacum (common tobacco). RNAcentral's name for it is "long non-coding RNA (NTAB_LNC003000)". Lineage: Eukaryota; Viridiplantae; Streptophyta; Magnoliopsida; Solanales; Solanaceae. The record is from RNAcentral.
GGAUACACACACUUUAGGGAGGGGACCGAUUUCCCUCUAAAAAGAAUUCUUUCCAUUCACUCUUAAUGGAUUCUCUCAUCUUUGUCACUCUCUUAACUAUAUAACACACACACAUAAACGAAAAGGGGAGCUGGAGGCCAAACAAAAACCUAGCAGCUUCCUUCUUCUUCACCAUAUUUUUUAUACAAGAAUACUUCAUCUUCCUCACUUAGCUUCACCAUAAAAAUCACUGUUCACUUCUAAAAUUCAGCCAUGAAAUGCAAUUGAAUCACCAGCAAAAUACACCCCCAAACAUCCCCAAAAACUAGCAGCUCGGAUCCAGUCCAAAACGUCACACAAAACAGCAAAAUUUCGAGCUCAAAAUAGUCCCAAAACUCAUGUAAAACUCCAUUAAAUUUAGCCAUAAACCACCAGCAAAAAGGACCUCCAAACCCAGCUUCAUCUCCACCCUAAAACACCCCAUAAAACACCUCAAAAUUCAACCCCAAAGAGCAGCGAAAACAGCUGCAAAAUUGCUGAAGAAAGCUGUCAAAUAUUGACCUGAAACAUUCCCAAAAUCACUCCAAAACCCAGCUGAAAAAUCAGCCAAAUUUCAUUCCCAAACUAGAGCAAAAGUGGGCAAAAAACGCAGCCAAAAACAGCCGCAAAUCAGCUGCCGAUAACCGCCAAAAAUAGCCCCGAAAAGCCAUGAAAAUCGGCCCGAAAACCAGCUGAAACAGUCACCCAAAACUAGCUGGAACGCAAUACCAAACCACCCCAAAAAUAGUCCUCAUAGCACCAUAUUUGUCGAUAAGCAUAGCUUCAUUUCAACUGGGUAAGACCACCCACGUUUAGUCGAGUUUUUUUUUGGAGUCGAGUUCGAGACUUCCGGAGCGGGUUUCGAUUUGUGGUUCCUUUGGUGCGAGAAUUCAGGAGUUUCAUUUGCUCAUGUAACUGAAGAAGUUUCCAUCUAUACAAAGGUCAUUUUUCUCUUUAUAUUAUGGUUUUAGUUGAUAUUUUACUAUGAUUGGCCUAGCUAAAAGUUUUCAACUGCUUUGUUUGUUUACAUCUCUGAGAACGUGUGUUGGAUGUUUGUUUUGUUUGCUAAUUCUUGAGAAGAAGAAAUAUGACUUGAAUCUUAAUCCUUCAUAAUGCAUAAGUUUGGUAUUCUAAUUCAAAGACUUAAGUGAAUGAAAUUUUGUGUUAUCUGAGAAACAUGCCAUUAUUUUUAUACCAUUUUAGCCUGAGUCAGUAUGUUAAGAAAGGCAAAUUUAAUGUGAAUUGCUGCGAAUGAAUUUGAAAUGUGGGGUGCGCUAUGAUAAUUCAAAUGGGCCAUUUGGUCGACUAGAAUCAGAAUAGAGUUUGGAUCUUUCUAUUAGAACUAGGCCGAAAAGAUUUAGUCUUACGAGACCCAGAGUAAUAAAUAAUAUAGCUGACCCAUCUUUUCUUGCCUUACAAUCAUCUCAAACCUUAAGAAAUUAAUCAAUUAUCGAACAUCGUAGCUUGCUUUAGGCAUGAUUAAUAAUAAAAUAUCGUGACUAUGGGUACGAUUCCUGUGGCAUGGUCACGAUACAUAAAUGCCCAUUCAAGUACGUGUUUCACGCGACUUGACCUCAACUUCAAAUAAUAAUGAAAAUUAACAUGUUGUAAAUCACGGGUGCAUUUCACGUGGCGCGAUUCGUAAUGUGUAUAAAAAUAAACGAGUGCGCAACAUCGUGACUUAUUCAAAUAAAUUCUAUAAGUAUUAAAAGUGGUGAAAGAGUAAAAAUGCACAAUAGGUUUUAAAUAUGUAAUAAAUCAUAUAACUAGGCCAAUUAUUAAUAGUUAAGCGACCGUGCUAAAAUUACGGAACUCAAGAGUGCCUCACACCUUCUUCCGUAUUAAUAGAAUUCCUUACUCGGUCUUCUAUGUUCGCGGACCGUAAAAUAGAGUCAAAUUUCCUUGAUUUGAGAUUUAAAAUGAACCGUUGACUUGGGACACCAUCAAAAUUAUUCCAAAUGGCGACUCUAAAUAAAUAAAUAAUCUCAUUUCAAAUUAUGACACUUUAAUUGAAAAAAACUCUCGAUCCCUCGGGAAAAAGGAGGUGUGACAGCUCUGGCGACUCUACUAGGGACAUGAACCCAGAGUCUCUAGUUCAGGGUUCAGAAUUCGAGCUUAGAAUAAUUUUUAUACCUGGAUUUUGCUUAUUAUCUGAUUUCUUUACAUGUUUGAGCCUCAUGUGCUAAAUACCGCUUUUUACCGCUUUGAUAUUGUUUGAACUGUAUAUAAAACUGUUACGAAACCCUUAUUCUCUCUAAGGCUUCUAAAUCUUCUGGGAAGUGCAUGCUGGUGUGACUUCUUUUCUGUUAGUGUCAUACCCUAAUUUAGAACGAGGAUCAGAUCAGUUAUAAAAUCGGAUGGCCUUUUGGUUCCCGGUACGUUGCCCCCCUCGGCUCGAGUUGUCUCGUCGGGUAAGUCUCCAUACCUUUAAGCUCUUAAACUUAGAAGAACAUAGCCUCAUGCCAGAUCCCUAGUACGUACGCUAGUUUGCAUCACGUGUAUUUGACUUUGGGGACUCAACACAGGGGUUGGAUCCGUCUAGGACAGGUAUACCCAAAUUAAAAGACCAUCAUGAUGCAUCUUACGUGCUACUUGUGUAUUUGUUUGUUCGGCUUGCAUGUUGACUGGCUUCUAGAGUAUGGAAAGAAAAUCAAGAAAAAAUAGGAGAGAGAAAAUUGACCUGAUUCCUAAAAUUUCGGUAUUUGAAAAAAAAAAAAAAUCCUGAAACUCUGUCGAAUUUUUAGAAGGUUGUCACAAAUGAGUCCAAAUUUUCAAAAAUAACAUUUUCCACUGGUCCUGAAAAACUAACCGAACUACGAGGGUCUGAUUCUCACCGGAUGUGAGAUACGUAGGCAAACCUCAUCGGUUUCGGCACACAAUUUUCAAAAAACAAAAAUUCAAAUAUAUUUUCCUUUACUUCCUUCUUUAGAAAGUCUUUCUUUUAGACCCCAAUAUUUUAAAAAAAAUACAAACAAAAUUUCUUUUAAUUUCUUCUCAAAAUCCAAAAAUAUUUUCAUUCUUCUUUCGAAAAUUGAAAAGAAAAUUCAAGAUUCAAAAAUAUUUUCUUUUUUCUUUAGAAGUAUUUCUUUCAUAAAUUCAAAAUAAAAGUCCAAAAAUGCAAAAAUAUUUCCUUUCUUUUUUAGAAGUUUUUCUUUCGAAAUUUCUGGAAAAAACAAAGAGAAAAAAAAUCGAAAUUCAAAAAAAAAAAAAAUUCUUUCUACUUUAGAAGUCUUUCUUUUAAAAAAUUCUCAAAAACAAAAGCCAAACAAAUCGAAAUCCAAAAAUAUUUUAUUUCUUCUUUAUAAGUCUUUCUUUCGAAAAUUAAAAAAAACUUCAAAAUCCAAAAAAAGAGUGAGUUUAUUUACUUUAUUCAUGAUCUUCCCGAACUACGCAAAGAUCUGAUUCAUUUUUCCACAUGAUACGUAGGCAACCCACAUCAGGUUUGAUCGACCAUUUUUAAAAAAAAAAAACAUGAUGAUCAUAAUAAUAAGGACCGACUGAGUCCAUUCUAACGUGUCUUUUGUUUUGAAUGGUGAAGAAAGUUUAAGGUGGUCGGUUUGUGGUAAGCUAGCAACACAUCCAGAAUUCACAAGAUCCAAGGGAAAAAUGCCAAUGACAAUUGACAU